CACGUAGGAGGCGAGCGUUGUCCGGAAUCAUUGGGCGUAAAGGGUGCGUAGGCGGCGUGGUAAGUCAGAUGUGAAAUCCCGGGGCUCAACCCCGGAACUGCAUCCGAUACUGCCAUGCUCGAGUGAUGGAGAGGUAGCUGGAAUUCUUGGUGUAGCAGUGAAAUGCGUUGAGAUCAAGAGGAACACUCGUUGCGAAAGCGAGCGACUGGAAAUGUACUGACGCUGAGGCUCGAAGGCCAGGGUAGCGAAAGGG
This 253-nucleotide ribosomal RNA is filed under the name uncultured bacterium. Its description in RNAcentral is "partial 16S ribosomal RNA". It matches the Rfam family "Bacterial small subunit ribosomal RNA", at positions 524 to 776 of the family's 1533-position model. The record is from RNAcentral.